AGCAGCCGCGGUAAUUCCAGCUCCAAUAGCGUAUAUUAAAGUUGUUGCAGUUAAAAAGCUCGUAGUUGAAUUUCGGGAUCAAUUAAUUGGUCGUGCCUAUGGUACGUAUUGAUUUUAUUGGUUUCUCCCUUCUGACGAACCAUGAUGUCAUUAAUUUGGUGUCGUGGAGAAUCAGGACUGUUACUUUGAAAAAUUAGAGUGUUUAAAGCAGGCUAACGCUUGAAUACAUUAGCAUGG
This 237-nucleotide ribosomal RNA is filed under the name uncultured Glomus. RNAcentral's name for it is "partial 18S ribosomal RNA". It matches the Rfam family "Eukaryotic small subunit ribosomal RNA", at positions 569 to 812 of the family's 1831-position model. Lineage: Eukaryota; Fungi; Glomeromycota; Glomeromycetes; Glomerales; Glomeraceae. The record is from RNAcentral.